AACGAACGCUGGCGGCGCGCUUAACACAUGCAAGUCGAACGAGAAGGCGUAGCAAUACGCUUGUACAGUGGCGAACGGGUGAGUAAUACGUGGGCGACCUACCCUCGAGUGGGGAAUAACCCGCCGAAAGGCGGGCUAAUGCCGCGUACGCUUCCAUCUUUAUGGAGGUGGAAGGAAAGCCGUGCCGUGGGCACGGCGCUCAAGGAUGGGCUCACGUCCUAUCAGCUUGUUGGUAGGGAACGGCCUACCAAGGCUCCGACGGGUAGCUGGUCUGAGAGGACGAUCAGCCACACUGGCACUGCGACACGGGCCAGACUCCUACGGGAGCAGCAGUGAGGAAUAUUGCGCAA
This 350-nucleotide ribosomal RNA is filed under the name uncultured bacterium. Its description in RNAcentral is "bacterial SSU rRNA". It matches the Rfam family "Bacterial small subunit ribosomal RNA", at positions 29 to 371 of the family's 1533-position model. The record is from RNAcentral.